GUGCCAGCGCCGCGGUAAUACCGGCAGCACGAGUGAUGGCCGAUCUUAUUGGGCCUAAAGCGUCCGUAGCCGGCCGGACAAGUCCGUUGGGAAAUCCACGCGCUCAACGCGUGGGCGUCCAGCGGAAACUGUCCGGCUUGGGGCCGGAAGACCUGAGGGGUACGUCCGGGGUAGGAGUGAAAUCAUGUAAUCCUGGACGGACCGCCGGUGGCGAAAGCGCCUCAGGAAGACGGACCCGACGGUGAGGGACGAAAGCUAGGGUCUCGAACCGGAUUAGAUACCCGGGUAGUCC
This 292-nucleotide ribosomal RNA is filed under the name uncultured bacterium. RNAcentral's name for it is "partial 16S ribosomal RNA". It matches the Rfam family "Archaeal small subunit ribosomal RNA", at positions 455 to 747 of the family's 1478-position model. The record is from RNAcentral.